Molecule: ribosomal RNA, 78 nt
Filed under: Campylopus pilifer
Lineage: Eukaryota; Viridiplantae; Streptophyta; Bryopsida; Dicranales; Leucobryaceae
Also listed under: 1 other name
Description: partial 5.8S ribosomal RNA
Rfam family: 5.8S ribosomal RNA
About the family: 5.8S ribosomal RNA (5.8S rRNA) is a component of the large subunit of the eukaryotic ribosome. It is transcribed by RNA polymerase I as part of the 45S precursor that also contains 18S and 28S rRNA. Functionally, it is thought that 5.8S rRNA may be involved in ribosome translocation.
Source: RNAcentral
AAUUCCGCGAAUCAUCGAGUCUUUGAACGCAAGUUGCGCCCGGGGCUCGACCCAGGGCAUUUCUGCCAGAGCGUCACC